This 510-nucleotide ribosomal RNA is filed under the name uncultured bacterium. RNAcentral's name for it is "partial 16S ribosomal RNA". It matches the Rfam family "Bacterial small subunit ribosomal RNA", at positions 28 to 507 of the family's 1533-position model. The record is from RNAcentral.
GACGAACGCUGGCGGCGUGCUUAACACAUGCAAGUCGAACGAAGAGCGAUGGAAGCUUGCUUCUAUCAAUCUUAGUGGCGAACGGGUGAGUAACGCGUAAUCAACCUGCCCUUCAGAGGGGGACAACAGUUGGAAACGACUGCUAAUACCGCAUACGAUCUAAUCUCGGCAUCGAGGAUAGAUGAAAGGUGGCCUCUACAUGUAAGCUAUCACUGAAGGAGGGGAUUGCGUCUGAUUAGCUAGUUGGAGGGGUAACGGCCCACCAAGGCGAUGAUCAGUAGCCGGUCUGAGAGGAUGAACGGCCACAUUGGGACUGAGACACGGCCCAGACUCCUACGGGAGGCAGCAGCGGGGAAUCUUCCGCAAUGGACGAAAGUCUGACGGAGCAACGCCGCGUGAGUGAUGACGGCCGUCGGGUUGUAAAGCUCUGUUAAUCGGGACGAAAGGCCUUCUUGCGAAUAGUGAGAAGGAUUGACGGUGCCGGAAGAGAAAGCCACGGCUAACUACGUG